Molecule: ribosomal RNA, 418 nt
Filed under: Genista tinctoria
Lineage: Eukaryota; Viridiplantae; Streptophyta; Magnoliopsida; Fabales; Fabaceae
Description: eukaryotic LSU rRNA
Rfam family: Eukaryotic large subunit ribosomal RNA (bases 306-418)
Source: RNAcentral
UGCAGAAUCCCGUGAACCAUCGAGUCUUUGAACGCAAGUUGCGCCCGAAGCCAUUAGGCUGAGGGCACGCCUGCCUGGGUGUUGCACAUCGUUGCCCCUGCGCCUUGGCCUUGUGCUAGGCACUGAGCGGGGCGAAUGUUGGCUUCCCGUGAGCAACGUCUCACGGUUGGCUGAAAACUGAGUCCGCGGUGGAGGGCACCGUGAUGGAUGGUGGAUGAGUUAAAGCUCGAGACCGAUCGUGCGUGUCACCCCCACUAGCUUUGCGACUCUGUGACCCAUGGUGGUCUGUUGGCCACCUAUGACGGGAACCUCAGGUCAGGCGGGGCUACCCGCUGAGUUUAAGCAUAUCAAUAAGCGGAGGAAAAGAAACUAACAAGGAUUCCCCUAGUAACGGCGAGCGAACCGGGAAGAGCCCACC